UUACUACAAAUGUAAUUGCACUUGCUACUCUUUUUUUAAAACUAAUGUCUGUUUGCAUAUUUUGGUAGUCGCUGUUAGAAAACUAAAAUUCGUCCUACCGGCAGAGGCAGACACGACACUCAUGAGUCGUAAAAAAGCGACAGGCAGACCAAAAAUAUCAACUUUAGCGUUAGUGAAAGAUUGAGCAGUCGGAUGUAUAUGUAGGGGGCAGCAGGGACUAUGUCCAAGGGCUUGACGACCCUCCCAGGUUACUGCGAGUUGUGGGGCUAGCCAAAAAUGUAGUGUGAUUUAACAGUGGGCUCUGAUCAACAUCUAUAAAAAGCUGCAUGUAACGGGCCCUACUAAAGCGACCUGUGGCUCUCAAAGCGCACUAGCCCAGUCCUGAUGUGGGGUGGGACUUUAAACAGAUCUGUCACGACGAUCCUCCACCGAGCGUCUGUUCACCAAAGAGGUGCGGCUCUCAACAGCGUCUGUUCUCCAUGUCAGGGGCGGCUGAUCAUCGUCCGGUGCCAGCAAGGGACUCUAAACAAAACUGCGCAAUACAGUUCUCCGGAAAUUACAAGCCAGCUUUAAAAUGAAAACAUCGUCGUUGUUCAAUAUAAGGACUACAGCAAAAACAAUUAAUAAGUAAUAAUUUAUCAUAUCAGAUUCAACCAUUGUUAAGCCGCCGAAUUUACACGACCUGUUGCGGCUUGUCCUACGUUGAAUUGAUAAGAUACUAGUAAUUCUGGCUUGCAAGGCUACCAAACAAUCGAUUCAAACUUGUCGAUCAAAUGUCGAUUUCGAACACCGAGACUAUAGGCUAUUCCAGGUGGUAUGUUGAAUAUUAGAAUGAUAAAAUAGUUAAUUCCCAGUGAAAUUGUUUCAUUGUUUGUAGCCUAAAUAGGCUAUCAGAUAUUCAAUUUAUUUGAAGGUUUUUAUCGUUGAGAAGAAAAAUACUAUAAAUAUACCGAAUAUCAGCAGGUUUUUUACGACUUUAUGGAUUUCUCGAUUUUUGCAAAUUUAUGGUAUUCUUAAUCUUUAUAUCGCACAAUGUGAGUUUUAUCAAACAAGUUACUCAAUACAAGAUAUCAGUAUUUUGAUAUCACUAUAUGAUCCAUACAUCAUGAUAAUAUCAAA
Long non-coding RNA from Armigeres subalbatus, 1119 nucleotides. RefSeq lists it as uncharacterized. The record is from RefSeq and is a predicted model, not a curated record. The transcript has 2 exons. Lineage: Eukaryota; Metazoa; Arthropoda; Insecta; Diptera; Culicidae.